Molecule: transfer RNA, 64 nt
Filed under: Calomicrus fallax
Lineage: Eukaryota; Metazoa; Arthropoda; Insecta; Coleoptera; Chrysomelidae
Description: tRNA-Phe
Source: RNAcentral
AUUUAAAUAGCUUAUAUYAGAGCAUAACAUUGAAGAUGUUAAGGAAAUUUAAAAUUUUUAAAUA